This 570-nucleotide ribosomal RNA is filed under the name Antrodia heteromorpha. Its description in RNAcentral is "eukaryotic LSU rRNA". It matches the Rfam family "Eukaryotic large subunit ribosomal RNA", at positions 95 to 648 of the family's 3401-position model. The record is from RNAcentral. Lineage: Eukaryota; Fungi; Basidiomycota; Agaricomycetes; Polyporales; Fomitopsidaceae.
GAAGCGGGAAAAGCUCAAAUUUAAAAUCUGGCGGUCUUUGGCCGUCCGAGUUGUAGUCUGGAGAAGUGCUUUCCGCGCUGGACCGUGUACAAGUCUCUUGGAACAGAGCGUCAUAGAGGGUGAGAAUCCCGUCUUUGACACGGACUACCAGUGCUUUGUGAUGCGCUCUCAAAGAGUCGAGUUGUUUGGGAAUGCAGCUCAAAAUGGGUGGUAAAUUCCAUCUAAAGCUAAAUAUUGGCGAGAGACCGAUAGCGAACAAGUACCGUGAGGGAAAGAUGAAAAGUACUUUGGAAAGAGAGUUAAACAGUACGUGAAAUUGCUGAAAGGGAAACGCUUGAAGUCAGUCGCGUUCGCCAGGACUCACCCUUGCUUUAGCUUGGUGCAUUUUCUGGUUGACGGGCCAGCAUCGAUUUUGGUUGUCGGAUAAAGGCAGGGGGAAUGUGGCAUCUUCGGAUGUGUUAUAGCCCUCAGUCACAUACGACAGCUGGGAUCGAGGACCGCAGCACGCCUUUAUGGCCGGGGUUCGCCCACGUUCGUGCUUAGGAUGCUGGCAUAAUGGCUUUAAACGAC